This 23-nucleotide non-coding RNA is filed under the name Arabidopsis thaliana (thale cress). Lineage: Eukaryota; Viridiplantae; Streptophyta; Magnoliopsida; Brassicales; Brassicaceae. The record is from RNAcentral.
ACAACCAUUCUCGACCAAAGUGC